CACUGGGAUUAUCAUUGCAACAGCUUCAUCAGAAUUUUCUUCAAAUAUUUAUUCUGAUAUGUAAUCUUAACUGAAGCUUAUUUAGUCACACAAGCAAUAAAAAUGAAAGCAGUGUGCUAUGUUUUAGAAGCCACUAUGCUUUGAUCCUAAGACCUUUGUUUUCCUCUUUUUUUGUUGUUGUUGUUGAUCUACUGAAAUAGACUAUGUGACAGAUUGAAGUAAAAUUGUACUUACAGCUUUUUCUCUUUUCUAAUAGCUAGAAUUAAGUCAAAUUGUUUUACCUUGGAAAUACUGUGUCUAAAAUGAAACAACGUAGCAUAUACAGAGAUACAUAAAUUCUGAAUCUGAGAGCUAAUGUGUUGAAUACUGUUGAUUGUAAUACCUACAAUGAAUAUGGGUAUAUAAAGUAUAUAUGAAUAUAAAACAUAUUUAUUUUUAGAUAAACAUUUAUAACAUACAUAUGCACAUAUUUAUAUACAUCCACAUAUACUAAUAUACAGUGAAAAAGCAAUAUAGACAUAAUAGAUCUUGGCAUAUAUUAAGUACUUUGUAUAUGGGACAAGUAGUAAUGAGUUUGGCAAAUUUUUAGGUGGGGUUUUCCUGCUGCAGAAAGCCAUAUAAUCAAGGUAACUAUUAUAAGGACAUUUAAUUGGGGCUGGCUUACAGGUUCAGAGAUUCAGUCCAUUAUUAUCAAAACUGAAGUUUGGCAGCAUCCAGGCAAGCGUGGUGCAGGAGGAGCUGAGAGUUCUACAUCUUGUCACAAAGAAAAACAAGAGAAGACUGGCUUCCAAGCAACUACAACAAAGGUCUUAAAACCCACAAGUACAUUGACACAUCUACUCCAACAAGGCCACCACUCCUAAUAAUGCCAAUUUCUGAACCAAGCAUAUUCAAACCAUCACAGCAAAUGUGCUUUCAUAUUGACAAGUAUUACCAUCACCAUUUUCUCAAAUACAAGCAUGUCUCAAGAAAAAUGCAUAUUGUGAGAGCUAUUCAAUAUUCGCCAUGAUCUUUAGAUAUUUAUAAUGAAAACAUGCCUAAAACUACAUUUUUGAUAAUUUAAAUAUUUAUUUAUUAUGCAUUUAUUUAUAUCCCAAAUCCUGCCCUUCCUUCUAGGUCCCCCUCACAAUAUUCCUCCACAGUCUCCUUUGCCUCAAGAAGGCACCAUCCCUCUUCUUGUAUUCCCAUGACCUUUAUGCAUCAAAUCUCUGGAGGAUAAGACCCAUGCUUUCCUACUGAGGUCAGACUUAGCAGCAAUCUGCUUUAUAUGUAAGGAGGAUCUUAGGCAAGCCCCUGCAUGCACUUUGUUUGGUGGCUCAGAGUCCAAGAGCUCCCUAGAGUCCUAACCCAUCAUCUGACAGAGAAUUAAUAUCCAAAAUAUAUGAAGAACUCAAGAAGUAGACUACAAAAAAAACCCACCAAUCCAAAAAUUGUUUAUGUAACUAAACAGAGAUUUUCAACAGAGUAAUCUUAAAUGGUCUAGAAGCACUUAAAGAAAUGCUCAAAAUCCUUAGUCAUCAAGAAAAUGAAAAUCAAAAUGACCCGGAGAUUCCACUUUACACCACUCAGAAUGCUUAAGAUCAAAUACUCAAGUGACAACAGAUGUUGGCGAGGAUGUGGUGAAAGAGGAACACUCUCUCACUGUUUGUGAGAUUGUAAACUGGUAAAACCCCUCUGGAAAUCAGUCCGGACGUUUCUCAGAAAAUUAUAAAUAAUUCUACCUGACGACCAGGUAUACCGCUCCUGGACAUAUGCCUAAAAGAUGUCCCACCAUACAACAAGGACACUACUAUGCUCAUAGUAGCUUUAUCCUUAAUAGAAAACUAAAAGUAACCCAGAUGUCUCUCAAGCACAAAAUAUGUAAGGAAAAUAAGGUACUAAACAAUAGAAUACUAUAAAGCUAUUAAAAAUAAGGGCAUUAUGAAUUUUGAAGGCAAGAGGAUGGAACUAGAAAACAUCAUCCUGAGUGAGGUAAAGCAGCCCCAAAAGGAAUUCAUUAUAUGUACUCACUGAUAAGUGGCACUGAUAAGUUGAUAUUAGCCAAAAUUUUAAGAAUACCCAUGUUACACUCCAUAGACACAUGUGAGGCAAAGGAAGAACUGGACCUGCAUGAGAGAGGCAUGACAAGGCAAAAAGGUAGGCAGGAUCAGGUAAGGGAAGAGACAGGAGAGAAUCCCAAAGGACUAAGAGAAUGGAUGGAAACAUGCCACUGCCAAGGGAGGACACUGGGUAGAUUAUGCACAUUCCAAUAUUUUAUCAGAAAUCCACUUUAAAUCUUGUAGGUUGCAUAUUAUAUGAUAUAUUUAGUUAAAAGCUGACUUGCAUCUAAUAACAGGUAUUUCAAAAUGGAAAAAAUGUAUACAUUAUAUAUUUUUAAAAAUAUGCCCAAAGGGCAAAUUUGAAGCUAUACAAAGUGAAUUCUGCAUUAUGAUAUGUCAAAGAACCAUAAGGACCAGGGAACAGAAUUCAAUGGUUUGAAUAAAAUUAUGUGCUCUUAAUGCCAUCUCUCCUCAUUCUCCCAGGAGCCCUAAAGGUGGCCAAUCACAUGUCCACCACUGAAAAAAACAUGUCAAUAAUCUACAUCAAGGAAACAAGGAUCUAUGAGGGUUGGCUUGAAUUGGCUUUUAAAAAAGUACUGUAGGCUGUGGUCAGAAAAGCUGUAUUUGUGCAAGGUUAGACAUUGUAUGUACUUAAUAGAGUCUUCUGCAAAUCUGGGUCAGGCAGUAUCAAAAGCGAAUCCUGGUGGAUGCCUCUUAAUAGUAAGGAAUUACAGCAAAACAAUGAGUAUUUUGGAUCUGUGUCUGUUUCUUCUGGGUCUCCAAUUUUGUACUAGUAUUUCUUAAAGGGAACAUUUUCGGUACUUUGACUCUGUCAUAAGCAUUGGAUCCUUAUGCUGUCUGAGUUUGAUGUUCCAAACAACAGUGACUUUCAGAUCCAAGAAUUAUAAAGGUGAGUACAGUCUUUACUAUACAAAGGAGAUUUUGAGGAAAGAUACCCCAAGACUUUGAGAUGAGACCACCUGCUGCUCCUUAUUUCUCUUUCUCUGUGCAGAAGAAAAGAAAGACAUUUGAGGGUGAUAAUGGGUAACAAGUGUUCCAACAGAAACUUGGUACAGAGGACGGAGAAGCUGAUCACGGAGCCAGACAGUGUUGAUUUAAUGCAAGGAAGACAGAAGUCGGAGGACCCUAAGCUGUGUCAUUCCUGACACAGAAGCUAUAUACUUCACCUUAUAUUCAUUUCAGUGAAACACACUUCUUCCCAUCUCACUACCCUCUGUUUAAGCAUUUCUUUGGGAGUUGAUUUCAUAGAGUUUUUCAAUGAUACUCUUGAAACUGAAUCCUGUCCAGGCCUGUCCUUUCUAUGUAUUAACUAAUUAUUAGUCUGUGUGUUCCCUCUCUAUUUCUUUGAUGAGUCUUUUUUUUUUUUUGUACAGUGAUUACAAAGUCUUUUAUUUCUUCAAAUCAGCUGGAGUCCAAAAAAGACAUUUUAAUUUUGUUAGUAUUUUACUAAUUUGUGACCGUCUAAACUAUCAGAAACGCCUCAAGCACGCACUUCACUCUCUAACUGUUCCCAUUCAUUUCAUGUUUUCUCUCUAAACUCAACUGUGUCAGCUGGAGAUGGGCCUGUUAAUAAUGCCUUAUCCAUAAAGUGUCUAUAGUAACUGCUGAGAAAAGAAAUGAGAAGGGAUCAAUGGGAAUAAAUGAUCCUUAGGCUA
This is a non-coding RNA of Rattus norvegicus (Norway rat), 3715 nucleotides long. The record is from RefSeq and is a predicted model, not a curated record. NCBI's taxonomy places the organism in Eukaryota, Metazoa, Chordata, Mammalia, Rodentia, Muridae.